This 349-nucleotide ribosomal RNA is filed under the name Pseudomonas aeruginosa. RNAcentral describes it as "bacterial SSU rRNA". It matches the Rfam family "Bacterial small subunit ribosomal RNA", at positions 1185 to 1533 of the family's 1533-position model. Lineage: Bacteria; Pseudomonadati; Pseudomonadota; Gammaproteobacteria; Pseudomonadales; Pseudomonadaceae. The record is from RNAcentral.
CCUGUAUUCCCCUGGUCUUACGGCCAGGGCUACACACGUGCUACAAUGGUCGGUACAAAGGGUUGCCAAGCCGCGAGGUGGAGCUAAUCCCAUAAAACCGAUCGUAGUCCGGAUCGCAGUCUGCAACUCGACUGCGUGAAGUCGGAAUCGCUAGUAAUCGUGAAUCAAAAUGUCACGGUGAAUACGUUCCCGGGCCUUGUACACACCGCCCGUCACACCAUGGGAGUGGGUUGCUCCAAAAGUAGCUAGUCUAACCGCAAGGGGGACGGUUACCACGGAGUGAUUCAUGACUGGGGUGAAGUCGUAACAAGGUAGCCGUAGGGGAACCUGCGGUUGGAUCACCUCCAUA